Drosophila sechellia is the source of this 99-nucleotide regulatory RNA element. It matches the Rfam family "R2 RNA element", at positions 91 to 203 of the family's 212-position model. From Rfam's summary of the family: This family represents the 3' UTR region of the R2 retrotransposable element. This family is known to interact with the R2-encoded reverse transcriptase in a reaction known as target primed reverse transcription (TPRT). NCBI's taxonomy places the organism in Eukaryota, Metazoa, Arthropoda, Insecta, Diptera, Drosophilidae. The record is from Rfam.
GGUUUUUGUUUAGUACGUAGGCAUAAUUCCCCAACUGAGGGUUAUGAAUCGUGCAUGAUAUCUACGGACGGUAUGGUAUCUUUAGAAGGUUUUAAUUCC